This 2904-nucleotide ribosomal RNA is filed under the name Triticum aestivum (bread wheat). RNAcentral's name for it is "partial small subunit ribosomal RNA". The record is from RNAcentral. Lineage: Eukaryota; Viridiplantae; Streptophyta; Magnoliopsida; Poales; Poaceae.
AUGACAAGACUAGCUCACCUCGCCGGCGCGGCCGCACUCUUCUUGCUGGCAGCCGCCAUCCCGGCAACGACUGUUGCGGUGCUGCCCUCAGAGGCCGAUGCCCUUCUGGCAUGGAAGGCAAGCCUCAUCGACGCAGCCGCGCUCUCCAGCUGGACCCGGGCCACACCCGUAUGUGACUGGCAUCGGGUGCACUGCGACAACAAAAGCGCCGUGGUGGAACUAAGACUAUAUAGACUCGGUCUAUCGGGCGGGCUCGAUACGCUCGACACAGUGGCGUUCCCGGCGCUCGCCUAUCUGGACCUUAGCAUCAACCACCUUGGCGGCGCCAUACCGGCCAGCAUCUCGCGUCUGCGCUCCCUCGAAUCACUCGACCUCAGCAAUAACGGCUUCAACGGCUCCAUCCCGCCGCAGCUCGACUGCUGGUGGAGCCUAGAGGCUCUGCUGUUCAUGGAUCUAUCCAACAAUUACUUUUCAAGUAAAAUCCCGGCACCUGUGGCAAACCACAACUGCUCUCUUAGGUCUCUUUACCUCGCCAGAAAUGGCUUCGGUGGUGCCUUCCCGCCGGUUCUAGAGGGUUGCAACUCGCUAUCCACCCUGGACAUCGGGAACAACAUGUUCUUUGGUGUUAUCCCUCCAUGGAUUGGGAGUCAGAUCCCAUUAUUGAGAAUCCUUAGCCUCAGAUCAAACAAUUUUACUGGAGAAAUUCCUCCGGAAUUAUCACGGCUUUCGCAACUUCAGCUGCUUGACAUGGCAAACAAUAGCUUGACUGGCUCCAUUCCGUUAACCAACCUUCAAGGCCAUCUGUUCAUAAACCUAUCAAGAAACCAUCUGUCGUGCCGCAUUCCCCAAGGCAUUGGUAGCCUCUCUUUUCUUGAGAUCCUUGAUCUAUCAUCUAAUCAACUUUUUGGAAACAUUCCUCAAAGCAUCACACGAUUAUCAGGGCUCAACACGUUAAAUGUCUCGAACAAUCUUUUGUCGGGCAAGAUACCCACCGGGAAUCAGAUUCAGACCCUGACUGACCCAUCAAUUUACUCCAACAAUUCUGGGCUCUGUGGAUUUCCUCUAAACAUUUCAUCGCUUCCGGAGCUUGCCUCUCUUAACCUUUGGAGGAACAACCUUGGAGGCCCAAUCCCGGCCAGCAUAUCAUGGCUGCGCUCCCUCCAAGUACUCGACCUCAGCGGCAACAGGUUCAACGGCUCCAUCCCGCCACAGCUUGGUGACAUGCCCAGCCUCACUGCCUUCUCUCUCUAUGAGAACAACCUCAUUGGCGAGAUCCCGCGCCAGCUCUGCAACCUUCUCUCCGUCCUGUCGUUGGACAUGUCCAACAACCGACUCACCGGGGAGCUCCCGAACUGCUGGUGCAACCUCCAGUCUCUGCGGUACAUGCGGCUGUCGGACAAUCGGCUCACCGGGGAGCUCCCGGGCUGCUGGUGGGACCUCCAUGCUCUGGAGACCAUGAUCCUGUCCAACAACUCCUUCUCAGGUGAAAUCCCGGCGGCUAAGGCAAGCCACAACUGCUCUCUCAUAUCAAUAUAUCUUGCCGGAAAUGCCUUUUCCGGAGCCCUCCCACUCCUAGAGGGUUGUGACAAGCUCGCUAUCCUCGACCUCAGUAGCAAUAUGUUUAACAACACCAUUCCACCGCAGCUCAGUGGCAUGCGCAGCCUCACCGACCUCUGGCUCUACAAUAACAACCUCGUCGGCAGUAUCCCGCACCAGCUCUGUAGGCACCUCUCCAUCCAGAUACUGGACCUGUCAAACAACGGGCUCACCGGAGAUCUCCCGGACUGCUGGUGCAACUUCCACGCGCUGAUGUUCAUGGUCCUAUCGAACAACCGUCUCACCGGCAAGCUCCCGAACUGCUGGUGGAACCUGGAGGCUCUGAUUUUCAUGGAUCUAUCCAACAACUCCUUCUCAAGUAAAAUCCCCGCAGCCGUGGCAAGCCACAACUGCUCUCUUAUGUCUCUUUACCUUGCUGGAAAUGGCUUCGUUGGUCCCUUCCCGAUGGUUCUAGAGGGUUGCAACUCGCUGGCCACCCUGGACAUGGGGAAUAACAAGUUCUUUGGUGUUAUCCCUCCAUGGAUCGGGAGUCAGAUCCCAUUGUUGAGAAUCCUUAGCCUGAAAUCAAACAAUUUCACUGGACAAAUUCCUCUAGAGUUAUCACGCCUUUCGCAACUUCAGCUGCUCAACAUGGCAAACAAUAGCUUGACCGGCUCGAUUCCGGUAGCCUUCGGCAGCUUGACCUCCAUGAUGCAUCCACAAAAUCUAUCGGCUACAGACCCGUCUAACAAGUUUAGUUACUAUGGUAGAAUCGACAUAACCUGGAAGGGCCAGUACAAGAUAUUUAGAAAAGAUAUCCAGUUAUUAGCCGGUAUCGAUUUGUCGGGCAAUUUAUUGUCUCAGUGCAUUCCUGAAGAGCUAACCAACCUUCAGGGCCUCCUAUUUCUAAACCUGUCGAGAAACCAUCUAUCAUCUAGCAUUCCUAAAAACAUUGGUAGUUUGACUUUUCUCGAGUCCAUUGAUCUAUCAUCUAAUGGACUUACAGGAGCCAUUCCGCCGAGCAUCUCGAGCUUACCGUGGCUCACCACGUUGAAUGUCUCGAACAAUCUUUUAUCGGGCAAGAUACCCAUCGGGAAUCAGCUUCAGACCCUGACUGACCCAUCAAUUUACUCCAACAAUUCUGGGCUCUGUGGAUUUCCUCUAAACAUUUUGUGUGCCAAUACUUCGCUUGCACCGGAUGAGAGAAAUGGUGAAGAGGAGGACGACUGGAUGUACUACUGUGUGAUUGCUGGGAUUGUGUCUGGUCUCUGGUUGUGGUUUGGGAUGCUCUUUAUAGUUAAGUCCUGGAGAUGUGGUUUUCUUUCCUUUAUUGAUGGCAUGCAAUGUAAAAUUAUGAAAAAGUUGUGA